GAUAAGUUGAGGAUAGAGAGAUGGGAAGUGGAGCUGGAAGAUGACGAGGAGGCGUUUUCGGUUGUUGUCUGGAGGCGUUUUCAUCGGCUGUCAUAAGACGUUCUCCGUGUCUCCACUACCGCCCAAUUUAGUGUACGAGGUCAACAUGUCUCAUGUAUGUACGAGUCGCGAUACUAUUCCUCAUGUAUGCACGAGUACGAUACUAUCGCUCAACAUGUACAAGUUUAGGGGGUCCAGAUCUGAUUAGAGCAUGGUUAGUAUCGGCCAGAAAGCGAGCGAAUCACGAAGAUUCGAACGGCGGAAUGACUAACAAGCGGCGGAAAAGCUCGAACCACAGUCUAGAACAUGUGGGGUGACAUGCAGAUAAUACGACGAAGAUGAUCAUGGGUUCAGGUUUGUU
RNAcentral lists this unclassified non-coding RNA (400 nucleotides) under Yarrowia lipolytica. The record is from RNAcentral. Lineage: Eukaryota; Fungi; Ascomycota; Dipodascomycetes; Dipodascales.